ACCCUUACCUAAUGAAGACAAAUAAAAUAGGCAAAAGGGCAUACCCCCCCCCCCCCCGGAAAAAAGGGGGGGUUAGGGGGGGAAAACCGGGAAAUCCAAAAAGGGCAAACCCCUUUUAACAAAGGUUAAAACCCCCCCUUAAAAUUAAAUCCCUUGGGUUAUUACCCCCAACUUUAACCCCCAAAAAUUUAUCGCCCCCGCCCUAAAAACGGUGGCUUUUUUCCCCCCCCUUGAAAAAAAAAUCUUGGGUUUUAUAAAAUUAAAAAAAGGCCCAAAAAUCUUGGGGCCCAACGGCCUUUUAAAACCUUUCCCCAAAGGAGUAAAAAUUUUUUUAAAAAAACCCGGGGGCCCCCCAAWYCGGCCUCAGCUCUCUCAGYCCUYUUYYUUUUAAMACCCASAYUUGWUCUAAMAUYUUGCCCUUACCCUASRARCCCCCAKGCCCCKGCCCYACAUCAGCUACUUGAUAGUAAAAUACCCCUACUAUCCGCCUGGGAACUACGAGCAUUAGCUUGAAACCCAAAGGACUUGGCGGUGCUUUAGACCCACCUAGAGGAGCCUGUUCUAGAACCGAUUAUCCCCGUUCAACCUCACCUUUCCUUGUUUCCCCCGCCUAUAUACCACCGUCGUCAGCUUACCCUGUGAAGGGCCUAUAGUAAGCAAGAUUGGCACAGCCCAAAACGUCAGGUCGAGGUGUAGCGUAUGGAAAGGGAAGAAAUGGGCUACAUUCCCUAGCAUUAAGGAACUACGAAUGAUUACACUGAAACACGUAUCUGAAGGAGGAUUUAGCAGUAAGCAGGAAAUAGAGCGUUCUGCUGAAACCGGCCCUGAAGCGCGCACACAYCGCCCGGUCACUCUCMCACAAGCUUCCACCACCCAAUAACUUAAAACUUUUCAACUGCAAAGGGGAGGCAAGUCGUAACAUGGUAAGUGUACCGGAAGGUGCACUUGGAAAAAU
RNAcentral lists this ribosomal RNA (955 nucleotides) under Lutjanus erythropterus (crimson snapper). Its description in RNAcentral is "12S ribosomal RNA". The stretch from base 490 to 948 matches the Rfam family "Archaeal small subunit ribosomal RNA", at positions 829 to 1466 of the family's 1478-position model. The record is from RNAcentral. Lineage: Eukaryota; Metazoa; Chordata; Actinopteri; Lutjaniformes; Lutjanidae.